UUUUUCCUCCCCCCACACGCAGGGUGGGUGUUGGUUGGAUUGUUUGGUCGCAAACGCACAGUGAUGAGGCGCGGGGGGGUCGCCUCAUCAUAGAUUGUGAUGUCUUGAGGUGCGGUGGGCCUGGUGACGCAAGCCAGGGUGCCCCAGGAGCUGGUCCAGGAUGUCUGCCUCUUUCCCAUCCUGCCCCUCUGAGACCCUUCUCAGUCACAGUAGGAACCCCUCCUAUGCGUGGAUCACCUCCCUGCUAAAGGGAUCGAAACCCUGUCCAGCUCUGAUCCCAGAACCACGGAAAUUCUGCAGUGACUAUGGCCUGGAGCAGCUGUGACUGGGUGGCCCCUCUCCAGGUGCAGGUGCUGGACCUGCAGGAUCCUCCAGUGUGUCUCAGAGCCAGCCCCAUGUUUAAGGGCUUGCCCUAGGAUGCAGGUCAAAGGUAACCAGGCCCCUCCACCACCAGCAGUGUGGACCGCAACGUGGCGUGGCGUUAAUGUUGGAGUUUCUUUUUGAUACCAACCUUUCUGGAAAGAACUGCCCACGCGAACAUCACCUGCCCUGCGACCCGAUCAUUGCAGAACUCCUUCAGCAAAGCAGGAGGCUGGCUCCUGACAGACCUCUGGUCCUGAGGACUCGCUGGUACUCACCGUCAGCCGUCAGCCGCUGUGCAGGGCACAGGUGGUCCCAUGCCAGUCCCUGCCUCUGCCACCAGGGACAUAAAGGGCAGUUUGAUGUGGAAGGACUCAGUAAUAGCAGUGUCGUGCCACAGUGAGAAAGUGUGUCUCUGCUAGAGGUGCUCCCGCCCCCAGAACCAUUCUCUUCCAAGCAAAGCAAAGUUACAUUGUUAUACCUGUCAGAUGGCUUGAGGGAAGGCCGUGUGCCAGCAUCUAGUGCCCCGGAACACCUCAAAUGGAUCCUGGAUCACACUGGCUGCUGUGUGGAGGAAAAUGCAGCAGGGUGAAGCCAUGAGGAGGCCGGUGAAGAAAUAAACCCAGGCAAGGACUGAGAGUGACUUGGGCCAGGGUCGGGGUAGGGAAAAGAAUGCAGAUUCCAGAGACACCUUAAAGUUGCUGCCUGUGGGAUCUGCUGAUGUAGGAGAGGGAUGGGAGAGAGGCGAGAAAGAAAGUGGCCUGGAUAUUUGGAUGGACACUGAGGCAGGCCAGGCCAGUGGCUGGGGUGGAUAAAUCAGGAGGUGAGCAAAAGUGGUCUUGCUUUCAGUUUGUUGACACUUCCAACCAGAGGUGGCAGUGGGGCAGGCUCUGAAGAGAGUUGGAGAGUGGUGUUAAUCAAAUGCUUUGAGGGUGGAUAGGUCACUGAGGGAGAAGAGAGGAAGGAGGAGGGAGAGAAGAGGAGGGGAAGGAAACAAAGGAGACUGAGAGGUGAGGGAGUUAUUGGGAAGGUGUUAGGUUUUCUGGUUUUGUUUAUGUUCUUGCUGUGACCGAACAUUCGAAACAACUUGAGGUAGAGAUCUUGUAUUUCAGCUCCCAGUUUCAAAUGGAUUGGUCAGCUAUUGGCUCCAUGAUUCACGCCUGCUGUGAGGCAGAGAUCAGGUCAGUAGGAGAAAGGCAGGAGUUUCUUCUUGUACUCAGAGAUCAGACAGGAGAGGCAACAGCCAGAAGUUAGGCGUCCCUUUGUUUUCCCCUUUCUUUUCUUACUACAUCUGGAGACCACCCACACUUGGGACAGGUCUUCCCCACCAUCCGUAGGCAGUCAGGUAAUCCAUUUAGAUUGAUCAUGAAUAUCCUCAGAAGGGGGAGGGGAGAGGAGUAGGGGGAGUGAUAAACUAAGGAGAGAGAGGGCAGAAUGCAAGUGAAGGGUGUGCUUGAAGACAAAGGAAAUGUCCAUUAAGUGUGUCAGCUGCUCUGGAAAGAGGAGAUGAACAUCGGCCAUCGAAUACUGUAGACCAGGAAGUCUGACGAUUAUUGAUUAUAGAGAAGUGGCAAUGCACCCGACUCAUGACCAUGUGUAAGGCAUGCACACUGCCCUACAGGACCUGUACCACAGCCACUGUGGCCUCACCAGCUGGACUUCAGGAAUCACAAGAAUGGCAACCCAAGGAGAGAAGGAAGGAUAGCCGCCACACCCAGAGCACUGGCUUCUGCUGAGAGCAGAGGCUCUGGGAUGCUGUGCUGUGCUGACCUAAUGUGAGCCCCACAUCUUCUAUUACACAUCUUGUCCACUGCUCAGGGUGAAUGGGGUAGAACAGUCUAGAUUAAAUUUUUAUGCUGACAAA
Molecule: non-coding RNA, 2224 nt
Organism: Rattus norvegicus (Norway rat)
Lineage: Eukaryota; Metazoa; Chordata; Mammalia; Rodentia; Muridae
Source: RefSeq, a predicted model, not a curated record